GCAGGGGUGGCGGAGCGGUCAAACGCGUCAGGUUCAGGGCCUGAUGACUUAGUGUCUUCUAGAGUUCAAAUCUCUACCCCUGCAC
RNAcentral lists this transfer RNA (85 nucleotides) under uncultured archaeon. Its description in RNAcentral is "tRNA-Ser(cag)". It matches the Rfam family "tRNA". From Rfam's summary of the family: Transfer RNA (tRNA) molecules are approximately 80 nucleotides in length. The record is from RNAcentral.